GUUACAGGGACAGUUACGGGCGUGGGGGUGGGGGCGGGGGAGGGGGAGGGGGCGGGGGCUUCGCGUGAGGCCCGGCCUCCGUCCGGCGCCGAGGAAAGUCGUCGUGCUCGGAGCGGUGACCCCUGAUCUCACCCGCGUAGCGCGCCCACUAGUGCCCACUGCUGCCCACACGUGGGCCCACUACUGCACACAGCUGGGCCCACUACUGCACACAGCUGGGCCCACGCCUCGAAGAACGCGGUUUUGUCUGUACGCAUUGUCAAUUUUCUGUUAUGUUUAUCAUAAGGGGUCGUUCAUUCAUUACAUCACGCUAAAUUGCGAUUUUUAGACCCGCCCCCCUUGCCCCCCAUCCCCCCUUGCCAUACUCUCAUAGAAAAGAGAUAGGUCUUUAAUACAUACUUUCACACUUCAUGACCACCCUGUUGCUGUGACGUAAUAUGUGGAUGAACCCUAAUUGGUAAUUCUAGUGACUAUUAUUUGUCAUAUCAUAUUUCCAUUUUAUUUCAACUAAACACAUACUUACUCGUAAAUUCAGACGCGUAUUCCAAAGCAGUUUUAGCAUAUUUUUUAUCAGUCACAUUAAUUAAUGUAUAUAAUGUAAGAUGGGACGCAUUUAAUAUAAUAUAUAAUGUAUGUAAAUGGUCAGUAAAUAUUCGGGCACUGACAAGUGGGCUGCGAACCAAUAUAUAUAUAAUUAUACAUAUUAUAUAAACACUAUACAUUAUUGUAAAUACUAGUGUAAGCGUGUAUAAUAAAUAUAUACAUUAUAAAUAUAUAAAUAAGCUGGCGGCGGCGCGCGGUGUUAUUUUCUUAUUCUGUGAUAUUUUAUUAGAUUUUAAAUGUUUUAUUAUUGUAGUCAAGUUUUUAUUUGGAUUUUAAAUAAUGAAUUGUUAUAAUAUAAUCCAUAUGAUGCAUUUUCGUUGCAAUUAAAUUUAAAGUAUGUCUUAGCACAAAUACAUAUGAGUACAGUUUAAUGUCAAAAAUAUUUACGCAAAAGGACAAAAAUAUGUGCCAUUUUCAACCAAAAGGGUACUUAUUGUCGCUUGUCAGUACGGCGCUAUUUCUAUAUAGCUUCAAUUAAAAAUCAACCUUAUCGACAAGCGACAAUGUGAUACCUUUUGGUUGAAAACGUCACAUAUGUGAACCCGAACAUUAUUCUUAAGUUUCUACACGUGUGUAGAUAAUUUGAUUUUACAUAUUGUGCGAAAUUCUAAAAAGAGGGUUGAAAGUUUGUACAGAGAAAGAGGAAAGAUUUAUCACGAGAUUAUUUUCUUUAUUGUAUUGUUGUUAAUAAUCAUACAUCGGGGUUUUUGGUGCGGGGAUGUUUGACACUAGCCAAAAAAUAGGUAAAAACCGAUGGUACUAUUUUAACAUUUCUAAGCACAUUUGGAGCUUACAACUUAUUUUUAUUCAUAGUUUGGCAAUUAUUUUACAAUCAACAAAGCUAUAAAUACACAAAAUCAUUCCCGCAUCAAAAUCUCCGUUUUAAUAUGUUAAUAAUGGGUCUCUAUUGUUUGACAUAAUUAUUGAAAGUCAUAAUGUAAUGACUAAUGAUUGUCAUAAUUAUCAUUAGUCAUAAUUUGUUUUUUCUUAAAAACGCGUAACUUUUCAGGAUUGCCAUAAAACAAACCUAACCUAACCUAUCUAUAGGAUAACCUGAGGAAAAUCCUGAAAAGUUAACGGUUUCAGAAUUAUGGCUAAUUAUAAUAUGACAAUCAUUACAUUAUGUAUUUCAAUAAUUAUGUCAAACAAAGGGACCCCGUUAAUAAUAAAGCAUGUUUCCGCUUUUUUGUAAAUUAUCUAAGCCCUAAGGUAUAAAAAAAUCAACGAUAUUAAUAUUUGGUUGCAACGAAACGCACUAAUAUAAUAUGGUAACUACAAACUACAAUACAAUUACUCUGUAGAUACCCCCUAACCUAAGCCAGUAGUCAUAAAACUCCAGUUUUGCUAGGAUAACUACUGUACAGUCCAGGGCAUAAUAGUACAUUAUUGUCGAGGCUCGGAAGUAGCUACUCGUUUUAAACGGACGACCUUGGGAGUCCGUUUAAAACGAAUCCUCAGCCAGCAAGUAGCCUUCCAGCAGGGGGGUGUCACUGCGCAGUUUAGGUAUAUUUGGCCGGCGCACCGCCCGGGCAGGUGUAUGGCAGUGGGCUGCCGCUCGGCUCGCACGAUAGUCGUGUCACGUGCUCAACUGGCGCUCGCGCAAAAUUGAAAAAUUUGAAAAUACGCAAUGGCUUCGAAACCUAAAUCGCAAUCUAAUCUGUAUAAAAGAAUGUUCUGCUUACGGAUGUCUGAAUAAACAGAAGGACAAGGAAGCAGAAAAAAUCAUUUUUUUUAAAUUCCGGACUAUAUUGACCGACAUAUUUUCAAAGGAAUAAGUACUUAUGUGGCAUACCUACUUCCGUGAGAAUCAGACAUACUAUCCCCGGCUAAAAUUUUAUGUUUACAGAAUCAACGUUUGUAAUUCCUACAUAUUUAUCUUAAAAAUAAUAAAUCAGUAGGUAUAGGUACAAAAACUUGUGGCGUGACAACCCCGUGCCGACACUCGCAGCUCGGUCAUAAAACUGCGGCGCGCAAAGAAGAUUCACGGUUCUUGCGCGGUUAUAAGUUUCAAUUUAGCUUGCAGGCGGCGAGUGUAGGUAUAAUUUUAUACCUAAAUCUGGCUUUUGUGAAGGAGUGAAUUUUCUGUACGGUAGUACUAUUAGUUAUUCUGUGCUUCCAGCCGAGUCAUUUAUAGUGCUUUUCUCAAAAACGGCGCAAUAAAUACAAAUACAGUAGAAAUAUUUUACAGAAGCAACGUUCUUAUGUAUAUAUUUUCACAGAAAAAAGUUAAAAGAUUUUCUUUGCCGCCUUUUUAUUUUUUAAAUUAAAAAUUGAAGUGUAUUUUUCUUCUGAAAAUACGCCAACCUAUUUGAGAUACCUAAAUAGUCGCGGUACCAAAAUUAUAAUAAUAAGUACUGAUCAUCUGUUUGGCUGUUUAAUGGACCCAUGCCUUCAUUUGAUAUGGCCACUUCAACUUUUAAAAAGUUUGGAACUCGACAAGUAAUGGAAUUUGUAUGCAACAUUGCAGUCCCGAAAUCGAGACUGCAAUUAUUGCAAUGUUUUUAACUUUUUAAUUUUUCAACGACCAUAAACUACGCACUUCGCGACCUACUUUUUAACCGGCAACGUCGACUUUGCCGUCCAUUUUUGAGAAAAUAUAUAUACAUUCCCAAAGUUUUAUAAAUAUAUGUACGCUCUUGCACCUUAGACAAUAAAGUCGUGUUCACAUAUUUUUGAGCCAUUUGUCUGGAUCGAUAUUUUUGCCUUCGACUGUACCCCUAGUGUAAAUUUCAUUCGAUAGCGUGACGUGUACGCGUUUGCGUUAUGUCUUUUUUUGUACGGGAUUUUGAGUUUCCAAAACGUCCCGCUUGGCGCGCUGUUCAAAAUCCCAUACAAAAAAAGACAACGCAAACGCAACGGACGCUAUCGAAUAAAAUUUGGUUCGGUAAUCUUAAGUUGCAAUUUUACUUUUUAUUAAUUGUUAACAGAGAAGUUAAUUAUAAAGACUGUUAAUCUCUAUACAAAUUCGCGUUCUCUCAAAAAUACUCAAAUCUCUAUAAAAAUACCAGGGUGAAUACGGAUGACUUUGAUGAAUAUGGACAAAACUUUAAAUGUGAUUUAGCUGACAAUUUGUUAAAAAAAUACCUACACGAAUUGUAUCAUUCAAUUGAAAAUAAUAGUAGAUUUUGUAUGGUACAAUCUAUGUGGAUUUUUUUUAAAGAAAAUUUCAAAUAAAUAUCAUUUUAAGUUUUGUCCAUAUUCACCCCAGCCAUCCCUAUUCACCCCGGUUGACAGGAUUUAAUAUGUUGAAACGGGUCACUCACGUAUUUUAAGUCGGAGUCUGCAUGUUUCGCUCCAUAACGAGUAGCUUGAACGGGAGCACGCGUUGGCGGACAUCUCGGAUGCAAUCUUCGAUUUAAAACAAGUGAGUGACCCGUUUUAAUAUUUUUAAUAAAGUUUAAAAUAAAUUUGUUUUUGAAAAAUGUAUGGAACUGCAACUAAUGUAGUUUUCAUUAAACCAUACCUGUGUAUGGAGAUGACGACUUGAAUUGUUGCUGGUCUCUGAUAAGUAUAUAGUAAGUGUAAAGUGGUAUAAGUUUGUAUAUUUAUUUGUAUAAUACUCUGAAAGACUACUAAGAUGCCAUACAGACGGCCGCCGCCGGUGAACUACGUAUUUCAGAACUAAGUUGUAAUUUUGCUUGGCUAAUAAAUAUUCUCACUUGUCUUAAGUCACAUAUUACCUUAUAACAAAACUUCCGUGAGACACAGACAUAUUAAAUACAGGGUGCUUUUGUUAUCACUGACCAAACUGUGAGGGUUGAGUCUCUAGUAGCAUUUUGGUACGGCAUUUGAUUAAUUGUGAUUAAUAUAAUAUUUGUGCCAUUUUCAACCAAAAGCGUACUUAUUAUCGCUUGUCAGUAAGGCGCUGUUUCCAUAUAGCUUCAAUUAGAAAUCAACAAGCGACAAUAUGGUACCUUUUUGUUAAAAACGUCACAUUUUUUGCUCCUUAUGACCUCGGGAAUGCGUGGUUAAAAUCUCUCGGGUUUCACCAGCCCACGGUGUAUAACAUAACGGACAAGAUAUUGACAAAUAACCUCCAAAGAUUCAAAGAUUGAAGUUCGGCGCAAUAUGAUGUGAACCCUUUACCUAAUCAAAGCUUUUUUCUGUUGCCAAGGCAAAAUAUAACUUAGCUCUGAACAACACUCUUAGUGGUGCUCGCAUCAUUGUAGCACCAGGAGGAUAUAACCAAACGGAGUAGCCAUUAACAGGCGUUCCCCUAUGUCGAAAAUAGUCGGCCAAUGGUCAUACACAAUGUAAGGACUGACGUUUAUCUGACAUGGCUAUUUUGACGUUACGUAUACAUUUGACGUUCCCCUCCCCCGCAAAAAUUGGCAGACUUUUUUGUACAGCAAAUUACAGACGUGACGGCUCCGUUUGGUUAUAUACUCCUAGCUGUAAAGUUAAUAUUAAAAACGCUCCAAAAUGUAAACAGAGAAAUGCGGUUCUGUGUCCAUAUGAUGUAUUAGGUACAUACCAUCUAAAACCUUGAAUAUCCUGACAAAAUUAAGUUGACAUUUCCUGGACGAUUUUUUUUAAAUGUCAGGACAACAAAGCUUGUACUAGGCGACGAUAUACAUACUUAUAUAGAUAAAUACGUACUUCAAUACAUAGAAAACAUCCAUGACUCAGGAACAAAUAUUUGUGUUCAUCACACAAAUAAAUGCCCUCACCGGGAUUCGAAACCAGGACCACCGGCUUCACAGGCAAAUUUCAUUUCACUCUAACUCUGUAUUUUGAACUGAACUUCACGGACGGGACGGUUUAUCGUUGUAUGCUCACGGACUUUAAUUGUUGAUCCAUCAAUUUGAUGCUAAUUUGGUUGUCAAUACUAACGGUAUGCAAUGUCCAGUGUAAAGUGAACCCUCAACAAUUGUCCGUGUCUGUACUCGUACAGGCGCCGCGUAUACAAUAAUAAUGUUAUAAGUAAGUUAGGUUUAACUUGUUAAUAAAAUCAAAUUUCAUUAUUA
Long non-coding RNA from Cydia strobilella, 5570 nucleotides. RefSeq lists it as uncharacterized. The transcript is spliced from 2 exons. The record is from RefSeq and is a predicted model, not a curated record. NCBI's taxonomy places the organism in Eukaryota, Metazoa, Arthropoda, Insecta, Lepidoptera, Tortricidae.